UGAUUGAUCGUUAUCAAAAUAAGCGUGAU
Molecule: non-coding RNA, 29 nt
Filed under: Bombyx mori (domestic silkworm)
Lineage: Eukaryota; Metazoa; Arthropoda; Insecta; Lepidoptera; Bombycidae
Source: RNAcentral